Molecule: long non-coding RNA, 1591 nt
Organism: Cucumis sativus (cucumber)
Lineage: Eukaryota; Viridiplantae; Streptophyta; Magnoliopsida; Cucurbitales; Cucurbitaceae
Exons: 3
Source: RefSeq, a predicted model, not a curated record
CCAAAAGAAAAAACAUUUGAUGAUAAAGACAAGGGAAACAAAGAACAACUCUUUACAUACAAACCCCAAAACCCUCUUUUCAUUUUGAACAACAAUUGAUGUUAAGGGCAAAAAACUCCAUGUGAUUGAAGGAAAGGUAAAGCAGAGACCAUGAGAAAGUUUCCCCAACUUCACACCCAGAACAGAACAAACACACAGAUUGCAGGUUUUAGGUUUUCUUUCUUUCAAAUGGGUCUGGAAGAAACUGUAGAAGAUAAGCAAAAGCACGCCAAGAAAGAAAGAAGAUGAAAAACAAAACAAAACCCAUCUCAGUUUUUGAGGUGUAUCUUUGAUGUGUCCUCUAUCCUGAACAACGUUCCAAGCAAAGCUAGCUGGCGAAACGAAUCCGUACAAUGAUUGACUUGUGUUCCUUUUUUUUUUUUUUUUCUUAUGGAGAAAUGCUUGGUUCCCAUUUCCUCUUUGUUGGUAUUUUCUUAGCCAUUGAUUUCUUAGUAAGUAAACUCGUGUUUUUUUCCUGCUUUUCUUGGUUGGAUUUGAUAUGUUGUUUACAUCAUUGUUCUAGAGAUUUGAACCUUAAUUCUUUUAGUGAAUAUGCUUGGCUGUAUUGAAUUGAAACAUAAAGCUUAGGAGUGUAAAGUCCUAGCAUGUUAGAGCCAUAAUAUUUAUCCCAGUUCACCUUGAUAUCCUUUAAACAAUAAAGUGAUUGUUAAUAUCGAUUGCUUGUUCAACCUUGUAAAUUACGUAAUUGUGGGAUGCUUUUCUGGAUUUUCCUUCCAAGCUAUGGAAAAUGUCAAGAUCAAGUCAUACAUACUGUAGUAAUGGUACGUGUAUUUGUAAUGAUGUUUAGUUUGGCAUGUCUAUAAACGAGACUAAAGGACUAGUAACAAACGGAUGGAAGUUUAGUGUAUUGGUUGGUUACGCCAGGGAUUGUAUUAGUUCUUCAAUCUGUAAACAGCCAGGAUGAAAUAUUUUUUGGUAUCAAGCAUAUCCCUGAUGACCUGUUUGUUUUGUUUUGUAGUGACUGUUUCGGAAUGUUGUUAUUGCAAUCACAAGGAUUGGCUCGAAUUCUUUGCCUACUUACUGCUUCAUCCUUGCAGGUUGGAAGAAACCGACAAGAAUCUUGAAUUUUAUGGAGAGGAGAAGAAUCUCACCAUUCCAGCCUAGUUGAAUGGUCCAAAGACGGCUGCAAAAGAAUAAAGAUAGCUUAUUAUAUGGAAUCGUUGGAGCCAGUGAGCUUUGAAUUUUGAGUUUGCUGUUUUGUUCUCCUCCAAGUUUUGUAUACUAGUGAAAGUUAAAGAAUUAGAAAAAUCAUGUGCUUGUGGAAUAUCUAGAGGGAAAGUUUUGCUUGUAUCAUUAAGUUUGAGAGUGAUCGUGUUGAACUUAUUGACAGUGUUCAAGGACUGCAUAGACCGUUUGGGAACGUCAUAAUGUUCUUUGAUACAAUCCUGUUAUGUUGCUUAUUGUUUACGUAUGAAUAGCAUCGAGAAGAUACACAAAAGCUCACCGAACUCUCGUGUGUGUGACACAAAGAUUCUCCUCUGUUUAAUAUCUGUGAUCAUUGUGUUGAGAUAAUGUCAAAACCUUUCAUUCA